RNAcentral lists this small RNA (1460 nucleotides) under Arabidopsis thaliana (thale cress). RNAcentral's name for it is "ATSL069700". Lineage: Eukaryota; Viridiplantae; Streptophyta; Magnoliopsida; Brassicales; Brassicaceae. The record is from RNAcentral.
GCUUAUAUGUUUCUCAGAUUAUCGACCUCUCGGUUCUUUGCAUAAAAGCAUACAUAGGGUCGUAAGUAGUGACGACUAGGUAAAGAAAAAGUUUGCUAAAAGUGAUAUAUGUAAAAAUAAUUUUUUUGUUAAAAGUGAUAUAUGUGCAAAAUAUGAUUUUAGACUUGAUAUUGAAGAGUUUACAAAGCGGGUGGUGGGAGAAGCCACUUGGAUCCUUGGAUGUAGCCGAGGGAUAGGAAACGGUUAGCUUCUUUGUCGUCAAUGUCUUGUGUGAAUGGUACUCUCUUGGCUUUGUGUGAUCCUGGUCCUGAACACUUGUACUCUCCGUAGAACACGGUUCUGUCAUUUUUGAUAUAAUCAGCAUAAAGGACAUGGACCGAUUGGGUGAUAUUCAUACGAUUUUUUAUGUAAUGUGAAAAGUGGGACUUACUUGUCAUGUGCGGGAGUCUUGUUUUCUUGCCAUCCGGUGGGGUUGACAACGCUGGUCAUCUCGGUGUAGGCAUAAACAACCUUAGGGUGGCUCAUCCAUGCUCUUCCCAAAUAAAUUCCUCCACCGGUUCCAGUCACCUUGCAGUGCACGAAAGAGUAUCCACUCUUCUCUUCUGCGCUCUUUCCUGCAUGCGCUGCUAUCACUCUAAUACCGUCUCCAACCACGUGCAAUUGUGUUCCCUUUUGAACUCAAACAUGCAUUAGAGAUCUCGCACUUUAUGUAUUAAGAAAUAAGUAUGAGAUGUUACGUACCAAGUACAUAGAGGUUCCACUUCCGAAGAUGAAAUCGAAUGUUCCUUCAACGUAACAAUCCUUGAAGAAAUGGUUUCCUGUAUCGUCACAGAUUGUGUCUUGGAAACCGUAGAAUUUGCAGUUGUAGAAAGCAGCAAAAUUUCCGGAGAUUCUCAUGGAUAAAGCUUGUGCUCCCUUAGUUUUACCAUCUGGUGCCGGCGCAGUGUUCUACAUAUGCAAAAAAAUAAAUCACUCGGCCAUGAAAUAGUCGACUAGUCACAUAGAUGUAUGAUAUAUAGUAGGAUCACUUACCUUAACGACGAUGUUAACGGCCAUGAAAUAGUCGGAUAAGAUAAUGAGAGAGGCGCUAUCAACGGUUCCAUACUUGGCGGCGGUACCGUCAUAGGUGAUAACAGGCAUGGCAUUGGGUUGUCCCAUCAAUGUAAUGAAGGGUUUGUUCCUGUCGAUAGUGACCUUCUCUUUGUAUUCACCAGGAGCCAUCUUUAUGAUCACCCGCUUUGUGUUCCCUGCAGGAACGCUCUUUAUUGCGUCCGUUAGUGUUUUGAAUUCACCACCCUUUGGAUUCACCUGCAAUAAUUUUUACAUGUUUUUCAAAAAAAUUGUAUCAAAAUCUAUUGGUACAAAGGAUGAGUUUAAGACAAUAAGUGUGAAUAGUACGUUGAUGAUACGUGGAGCAGCCUCAGCAGCUACAAGAGCAGGAUCUAAGCCUUUACGUUGAG